Cercocebus atys (sooty mangabey) is the source of this 2402-nucleotide long non-coding RNA. RefSeq lists it as uncharacterized. The transcript has 2 exons. Lineage: Eukaryota; Metazoa; Chordata; Mammalia; Primates; Cercopithecidae. The record is from RefSeq and is a predicted model, not a curated record.
CCCCAUGCUGCCGCGCGGGGCUGUUCAGUCGGGACACUGAACAUUGCCACAGUGGAAUUCUAGGCAGACAACUUCAGCUAACGGUUCUGCUUGCCAUUUGGUGACCUGGCAAGACACUUCCUAGAUAAGUCUGGAAAAGGCAGGACGCCUCAUCCUGUUUUAAUAAAAAACUUAGAAAAAACCGGCUUCAUAAGAGAAGGCCCGGCAGUGGAGGGAGCAUUUCAUCGUGUUUCAUAGACGCAGCUGAAAUGGACGGAGACCCAUCCGGAAGCCGUGGAGAGAGCCAGUGUCUCUUCAGCCUGCCCCAAGACGGGGGUCCUCCUGUCUCCCCCAUGAUCCGGGCUUGGCCUCUCUGGGCUGUGAGACGCACAAGUGAAAUGCUUCAACCUCAGAGGCCACAGGGACCUUCCACCACAGGCCUCACGCUCAUUCCUGCCACUUGCUUCCCAUCCCAGCUCCUUCCUCCUCAGCUUGGCUCCAACAGCCCCGAGUCCCUGCCUCCCUGUCCCUGUCAUCCUUGUCUGGCCGUGCCCAGCGCUGUGAAGCCAGAACAGACCACACUGCUCUACGCACACCAUGGGCAGGCAGGCAGGCAGGCACUGGGCAGCAGGUUGCAGAUGGAUGUGGAUGGUGCCGAGGACCCCCACCGGGUCUGGCUUCCCAAUCUUGGCCUCUGCUCUUCUUUCUCCUCUGCUGAGAGCCUCUGCUCAGCGUUCAGAGAGGGAAGGUGUGGGUGGCUGCCUCCUGCCCCAUGCCCCCGCCUCGGCCCCCACCUCUUCCCUCUCCUGGAGCAGUUAGUGUCCUCAGAGAAGGUCCUCGCUCAGUCCACGCCUGGCAAAUCCCACGGAGAGGCCCGGAAGCAGUUCCCUCCACGGCCAGCAUUCUUUCCUUACUCAUCAUCUUAUGCUGUUACUGUCUCCGUAACUGGAACCGACGGUCCUCGAGAGAAGGCGUCUUGUCCCUCCCACCGUGCCCACAACCUUCACGCGGUGCCUGACACAGAGCAGGGCCUCUCGAGCCUUUGAGGACAUCUGGAGGACGACUCCGAACUCACCCUCGCGUUGCACCGUCUCACCUCUCUGUAGGGGCUUGUCCCUUCCCACGGUGACCUUCGAAGCAUGUCUGUCUGUCACCAUGUCCCGGCACAGUCUGGCCAUGCUCACUCAUGUCCAGCCGCUGACUCAUUGCAGCUGGCACGCUUCUUGCAAAUGGCAGAAACACACACAUUUUUUGCAUGAGUAAAUAGUAACCAAAAAAAAAGAUGGUUUACGUGCUGUACACUAGCAGCCAGCACGUCACCUGGAAACAGCGAGACGAGAGCCGCCACUCAGACAUCUCCAUCUCCUGGGAUCCGCGCUCCGUGUGGCCCUGGCAGAGUGCCCAGGAUAAAGGGCAUGGCCAGCACCUGCGGCCUGCUCUGGGCCCCAGUCCUGGUCCCCGCAUCCGGACGAGGCUGUAGCAUCCCGGAGGCUUCUGCUCUGCCUCUGGGGACCUUUGCUCCAUUUGCAGAAGGUUUCCUUCUUCCUGCAGUGAGGCGGGUGGUGACUCCAGAGCUGCCUGCUCAGCAUAGGGCGACCCCUUGCCAGGCUGUCCAUGGUGCUCUUCCUAAGUGAGCCCCCCUACCCCCGGGGGAACCCCUGGCUCUGUUUGGGGCCUGGCAGACUCUCCCUAGGGCUGGCCCCUUCCUGCACCCCCCCUCCCCUGCCCUCCGACCUCAGCAUAUGGCUCAGGGACACAGACACCCAAAGGCCUCCUCUUGGGUCCUCAGCCUUGAUCUCGGCCACGGCCCUGCUUAAAUAUCAGGAAAACGCAUUGGCCACAUAAAUAAUUCCUCACUAACGGCAGCGACAGAAAUCGGAACCAGCAACCCUAGAGGGCUGGAGCGGGGGGGCCACCUGGCCUGUGAACAGACACAUUGCUGCUGCUUUGCUGGCCUUCGUGGUUCAUUUAAGCGGCCUGCGGAAGGCCUCGCCUGAAAGUGGGUGCUGUCUGAGAUGGGGAGGGGCCCUGCGCCCAGUAGGACCCACACAACUGUGGCAGCCACAGAGCCACAAGGAGCCUCAGUGUAGGAGGCGAAGGAGACAACGUCCCGGGGGCAGACGCUGGGACUGGGCAGUCUCUGGUUUGACCUGUUCACCGCGGGUUAUUGACUUAACCUGUGGACAACUGGGCCAUUCUUUGAGGGUGGAGGGGGUUGGGGGCUUUUCUCCUACCUGCCCUUCCCAGGCCAGGGCCGCGGCUUCCUGACCUAGUGCACACAUGUCUGUCAAGCUCUCCAGAUACAAUGGGGCAAAAUGACCAAUGUGGCCCCCCGGGUCCCUGAGAAGGAUGCCACUGCAGUGGUUAAUCUGAUUUUCUGGCACCUAAAGCCACUAGGCUGAAGCCUAAAAAAAAAAAAAAAA